RNAcentral lists this transfer RNA (59 nucleotides) under Celleporella hyalina. RNAcentral describes it as "tRNA-Thr". Lineage: Eukaryota; Metazoa; Bryozoa; Gymnolaemata; Cheilostomatida; Hippothoidae. The record is from RNAcentral.
AGCAAGUAAAGCUUUCAGCAUUGGUUUUGUAAACCAAAGAAUACUCUGUAUGCUUGCUG